AUGGGUGAUUAGGUUGGCCGACCAAAGUCGGACCUGAUCAUUUAUUGAUUAAAUGGACUAAGCAUGGUCAUGUUAAUGGUUGGACCUAACCAGAACUUUUAAUGGAGGUCCUAGCCUACCAAAAUAAAAUCUGAGGUAAAAUAAGUUACUAAAAGUUAUUUGAAGAAAUAAUUGAUUAAGAACCUACCCAUAGAUAUACAUAAGUUGGCCGAU
This 213-nucleotide long non-coding RNA is filed under the name Elaeis guineensis (African oil palm). Its description in RNAcentral is "long non-coding RNA (EGUI_LNC039746)". Lineage: Eukaryota; Viridiplantae; Streptophyta; Magnoliopsida; Arecales; Arecaceae. The record is from RNAcentral.